AGCCUUGAAGUGUCAUCACGUUAGAUUGCAAAUCUAAAGAAGUAGACUACCGUCUACCGGGGCUU
This 65-nucleotide transfer RNA is filed under the name Chaenophryne sp. CLS4E. Its description in RNAcentral is "tRNA-Cys". Lineage: Eukaryota; Metazoa; Chordata; Actinopteri; Lophiiformes; Oneirodidae. The record is from RNAcentral.